Non-coding RNA from Canis lupus familiaris (dog), 191 nucleotides. The record is from Rfam. NCBI's taxonomy places the organism in Eukaryota, Metazoa, Chordata, Mammalia, Carnivora, Canidae.
AUCAUUUCUCAGCCUUUUGGCUAAGAUCAAGUGCAGCAUCUGUUCUUAUCAGUUUAAUGUCUGAUAUAUUAUCUAUCCAGGGACGAUAUAUUAAAUAGAUUUUUGGAGCAGGGAGAUGGAAUAGGAGCUUGCUCUGUCCAACCUGUGCAUCAACCUGAUAUUGCAGUACCUUUAGGAAUGGUGGACCCCCA